RNAcentral lists this unclassified non-coding RNA (329 nucleotides) under soil metagenome. RNAcentral's name for it is "partial contains 5.8S ribosomal RNA, internal transcribed spacer 2, and large subunit ribosomal RNA". The stretch from base 1 to 120 matches the Rfam family "5.8S ribosomal RNA", at positions 35 to 154 of the family's 154-position model. The record is from RNAcentral.
GAUGAAGAACGUAGUGAAAUGCGAUAAGUAGUGUGAAUUGCAGAAUUCAGUGAAUCAUCGAAUCUUUGAACGCACAUUGCGCCCCUUGGUAUCCCGAGGGGCAUGCCUGUUCGAGCGUCAUUUCACCACUCAAGCCUGGCUUGGUGUUGGGCGACGUCCUCUUUGGGGACGCGCCUCGAAACGCUCGGCGGCGUGGCACCGGCUUUAAGCGUAUCAGAAUCUUUCGCUUUGGAAGUCGGGGCCCCGUCUGCCGGAAGACCUGCUCGCAAGGUUGACCUCGGAUCAGGCAGGGAUACCCGCUGAACUUAAGCAUAUCAAUAAGCGGAGGA